AGAAAUUCUCAUCACAAGCAAUUUCACACACUUUCUACAUAUUUCUACGCAAUUAAGCUAAAAAAAAUCCGAUACCAAACCACCAAUUGUGAGACACACAACCUACCCACAACAAAAAUUGGUUGGGAAACGCAUGACGUGACAAAAACUUAGUGACCAAGGCUGAUAAAAAUAGUAGCAAACCAAGAUUCCAUGAGGAACAGAGAUUAUACCUUUAGGUUCCAUUUUCCCAACCAUUCCAAGGGUGGAGUCACCAGAAGCUCGUUUCUCCUUCAAGAACUGGCUCAAGAGGCUGCAAGUCUGAGAAAAAGAGGAUUUUUCCGGUGCCUUGCCGGACCUCCGGGCUUCCGACACGGUGUUGGAGAAACUUGACAUUUUGAAGAGAUGCCCAC
Molecule: long non-coding RNA, 392 nt
Filed under: Phaseolus vulgaris (common bean)
Lineage: Eukaryota; Viridiplantae; Streptophyta; Magnoliopsida; Fabales; Fabaceae
Description: long non-coding RNA (PVUL_LNC000906)
Source: RNAcentral